Molecule: ribosomal RNA, 450 nt
Filed under: uncultured bacterium
Lineage: Bacteria
Description: partial 16S ribosomal RNA
Rfam family: Bacterial small subunit ribosomal RNA
Source: RNAcentral
GUGGGGAAUCUUCCGCAAUGGACGAAAGUCUGACGGAGCAACGCCGCGUGAGUGAUGAAGGUCUUCGGAUUGUAAAGCUCUGUUAAUCGGGACGAAAGAGCCUAGUGUGAAUAAUGCUAGGAAGUGACGGUACCGGAAUAGAAAGCCACGGCUAACUACGUGCCAGCAGCCGCGGUAAUACGUAGGUGGCAAGCGUUGUCCGGAAUUAUUGGGCGUAAAGCGCGCGCAGGCGGAUCUGCCAGUCUGUCUUAAAAGUUCGGGGCUUAACCCCGUGAUGGGAUGGAAACUACAGAUCUAGAGUAUCGGAGAAGAAAGUGGAAUUCCUAGUGUAGCGGUGAAAUGCGUAGAUAUUAGGAAGAACACCAGUGGCGAAGGCGACUUUCUGGACGAAAACUGACGCUGAGGCGCGAAAGCCAGGGGAGCGAACGGGAUUAGAAACCCUUGUAGUCC